UUUUGGACAGGUUGGCCACCGGCUG
Molecule: non-coding RNA, 25 nt
Filed under: Mus musculus (house mouse)
Lineage: Eukaryota; Metazoa; Chordata; Mammalia; Rodentia; Muridae
Source: RNAcentral